GACGAGGGUGGCAAGCGUUAUCCGGAAUUAUUGGGCGUAAAGCGUCCCUAAACGGCCAACAAAGUCGAAUGCCAAAUCUCGAGGCUCAACCUCGAGCGAGUAUUCGAUACUGGUUGGCUUGAGGAUGGUAAAGGUAAUUGGAAUUCCUGGUGUAGUAGUGAAAUGCGUUAAUAUCAGGAAGAACGCCGUUUGCGAAAGCUGAUUACUUGGCCAUACCUGACGUCCAAUGACGAAAGCGUGGGGAGCGAACGGG
Molecule: ribosomal RNA, 253 nt
Filed under: uncultured bacterium
Lineage: Bacteria
Description: partial 16S ribosomal RNA
Rfam family: Bacterial small subunit ribosomal RNA
Source: RNAcentral